RNAcentral lists this ribosomal RNA (429 nucleotides) under Pseudomonadota bacterium. RNAcentral describes it as "Proteobacteria bacterium partial 16S ribosomal RNA". It matches the Rfam family "Bacterial small subunit ribosomal RNA", at positions 355 to 776 of the family's 1533-position model. The record is from RNAcentral. Lineage: Bacteria; Pseudomonadati; Pseudomonadota.
UGGGGAAUAUUGGACAAUGGGCGAAAGCCUGAUCCAGCCAUGCCGCGUGUGUGAAGAAGGUCUUCGGAUUGUAAAGCACUUUAUGUUGGGAGGAAGGGCAGUAAGCGAAUACCUUGCUGUUUUGACGUUACCGACAGAAUAAGCACCGGCUAACUCUGUGCCAGCAGCCGCGGUAUUACAGAGGGUGCAAGCGUUAAUCGGAAUUACUGGGCGUAAAGCGCGCGUAGGUGGUUCGUUAAGUUGAAUGUGAAAGCCCCGGGCUCAACCUGGGAACUGCAUCCAAAACUGGCGAGCUAGAGUAGGGCAGAGGGUGGUGGAAUUUCCUGUGUAGCGGUGAAAUGCGUAGAUAUAGGAAGGAACACCAGUGGCGAAGGCGACCACCUGGGCUCAUACUGACACUGAGGUGCGAAAGCGUGGGGAGCAAACAGG